UGGGGAAUUUUGGACAAUGGGGGAAACCCUGAUCCAGCCAUCCCGCGUGUGCGAUGAAGGCCUUCGGGUUGUAAAGCACUUUUGGCAGGAAAGAAACGUCGCGGGUUAAUACCCCGCGAAACUGACGGUACCUGCAGAAUAAGCACCGGCUAACUACGUGCCAGCAGCCGCGGUAAUACGUAGGGUGCAAGCGUUAAUCGGAAUUACUGGGCGUAAAGCGUGCGCAGGCGGUUCGGAAAGAAAGAUGUGAAAUCCCAGAGCUUAAACUUUGGAACUGCAUUUUUAACUACCGGGCUAGAGUGUGUCAGAGGGAGGUGGGAUUCCGCGUGUAGCAGUGAAAAUGCGUAGAUAUGCGGAGGAACACCGAUGGCGAAGGCAGCCUCCUGGGAUAACACUGACGCUCAUGCACGAAAAGCGUGGGGAGCAAAACAGGAUUAGAUACCCUGGUAGUCCACGCCCUAAAACGAUGUCAAACUAGCUGUUGGGGCCUUCGGGCCUUGGUAGCGCAGCUAAACGCGUGAAAGUUGACCGCCUGGGGAGUACGGUCGGCAAAGAUUAAAAACUCAAAAAUGAAAUUGACGGGGUC
RNAcentral lists this ribosomal RNA (586 nucleotides) under uncultured bacterium. RNAcentral's name for it is "partial 16S ribosomal RNA". It matches the Rfam family "Bacterial small subunit ribosomal RNA", at positions 355 to 920 of the family's 1533-position model. The record is from RNAcentral.